Molecule: long non-coding RNA, 455 nt
Organism: Mus musculus (house mouse)
Lineage: Eukaryota; Metazoa; Chordata; Mammalia; Rodentia; Muridae
Product: predicted gene, 34611
Exons: 3
Source: RefSeq, a predicted model, not a curated record
AAAACAAACAGCCCUGAAGCCUGCUCACCUCUUCCUCGUGGGCUGCAGCUAAGCUUUCAGCAGGGCCUGAACGGCAUCCAGGAUCGCUGACGGCCUUGCUGAGGGAGGCCAGGCACCUUGGUAGCAGAGUCAGAAGCAAAGCCUAGUUCUGAUUGCAACACAUCCAUUCCGACUUGCAUCACCUGUGCCUGUGGACCCUAUACAAAUUCCCGGAGCACAGGAGAUGGUUAGAACAGCGCUGGGCAGGGAAAUUUGGCACAAAGUGACUGAAGCAACAGCAAACAGCAAAAACCUGUCCAUAGGCCUGUGCUAUCUUCAUGACAAUGCUACAGAAUGCCUCACUCCCUACUCUGAGCUAAAACAAUGCUUCAGCAACCCACCUGAGACUCCCAGGCAGCCUAUUUAUCAAAAGGAGUUAAAGUCCCCCAUUCGGAGUAACUGCUUCGGAGGAAUUU